GUCUCUUCAGAGACAUUUGAUAAAAUUGGAACGAUACAGAGAAGAUUAGCAUGUCCCCUGUGUGAGGAUAGCAUGCACAAAUUGACAAAUGGUCUAAAUUUUU
Molecule: small nuclear RNA, 103 nt
Filed under: Amborella trichopoda
Lineage: Eukaryota; Viridiplantae; Streptophyta; Magnoliopsida; Amborellales; Amborellaceae
Source: RNAcentral